GAUGUACUCCCUCCGUUCGGAAUUACUUGUCACAGAAAUGGAUGUAUCUAGAUGUAUUUUAGUUCUAGAUACAUCCAUUUCCGAGACAAGUAAUUCUGAACGGAGGGAGUACAUA
Triticum aestivum (bread wheat) is the source of this 115-nucleotide non-coding RNA. The record is from Rfam. Lineage: Eukaryota; Viridiplantae; Streptophyta; Magnoliopsida; Poales; Poaceae.